Molecule: ribosomal RNA, 433 nt
Filed under: uncultured bacterium
Lineage: Bacteria
Description: partial 16S ribosomal RNA
Rfam family: Bacterial small subunit ribosomal RNA
Source: RNAcentral
AACGAACGCUGGCGGCAUGCCUAACACAUGCAAGUCGAACGAGACCUUCGGGUCUAGUUGCGCACGGGUGCGUAACGCGUGGGAACCUACCCUUAGGUUCGGAAUACCUCCCCGAAAGGGGUGCUAAUACCGGUUAAUGUCUUCGGACCAAAGAUUUCUGGCCUUUGGAUGGGCCCGCGUUGGAUUAGCUAGUUGGUAGGGUAAUAGCCUACCAAGGCGACGAUCCAUAGCUGGUCUGAGAGGAUGAUCUACAACGCUGGGACUGAGACACGGCCCAGACUCCGACGGAAGGCAGCAGUAGGGAAUAUUAGACGAUGAGCGAAAGCCUGGUCCAGCAAUGUCGCGGAAGUGAUGAAGGCCUUAGUGUUGUAAAGCUCUUUUAGCCGGGAUGAUAAUGACAGUACCGGGAGAAUAAGCACCGGCUAACUCCGUG